Non-coding RNA from Nothobranchius furzeri (turquoise killifish), 661 nucleotides. Lineage: Eukaryota; Metazoa; Chordata; Actinopteri; Cyprinodontiformes; Nothobranchiidae. The record is from RefSeq and is a predicted model, not a curated record.
UGAUGUGAAAUUGUGCUUCGUGCAACAUAAUUCUGGGUGCCAUUUAAAAACCAUAAGUGCUAAUGACUCCAUUCCUUUUAGUGGUAAUGGGGGCUGCUAAUUGGAGUACUCUAAAACAAACCUGACCUCUCUAGGACAUUCAGAAGCCAAGUUAUAAGCCCACAAAGGUGUAACUGGACUACUUCUUUAAAGAGCGGGUCAAUUGAGCCUCGGAGUCCUUCUCCACCCACGUAUCAAUUUUAAAAAAUGCAACAUUAGUAGGCGUUGCCUGGAGGACCGAGAGGGCGGAGCCGCGGCAGUGACGAAGACGAUGGCUAACUAGACGAAGCUAGCUCCCUUCACUCUGAGCAGUUGAUAGAAGUGGAGGACGUUUCUCCCCCUCCUUACAGACACUCGAGAAGAAAGGGACCAAGUCUAUUUGGAGGAGACAAGCGGACCUGAGUCUUAUUGUUUUGAGCUUGUGAGUUGCCUGAAACUCCCAGAACCGACCCAACAGAAUCACCUCUGAAAGGUCCUCUGGUGUCUGCAGCUGGUCUCUGGUGUCUGCAGCUGGUCUCCUCUGCUGGUGUCCUCAGGAUCAGGAACUUCCAGAAGAAUGUGCCUUUCAAUGACUCUUUCCCCCUUAUUUGUUAUAUUAAUUAAAUAAAUCUCAAUUUAUAUA